UCCACUCUCUUCUUCUCCUCCUCCUUCUACUCCUAAUCCAGCAGCUCCUCCUCCGCUGCUUGCGCUUCCACUGGCGCUGCUGGACUCUCCCCCACCACUGCCGUUGGAAGAAGAUGACGCCGAUGAUGACGACGAUCGUGAUGAUGAGGUAGAGGAGGAUGAAGACGAUGAGGAAGCCGACGACUCGUGGGUUCCGCCUUCUAGUUCGUGGUUGUUUCCGUAUUCCUCCCCGAAAACAUCCACGUCUUGGUCCGGGAAAUCCAUUGAGGUUUUUGGGUGAACGAUUGAGAGAUUGUUCUGAGUUUUACUUUUUACGAAU
This 319-nucleotide long non-coding RNA is filed under the name Citrus sinensis (sweet orange). RNAcentral describes it as "long non-coding RNA (CSIN_LNC001930)". Lineage: Eukaryota; Viridiplantae; Streptophyta; Magnoliopsida; Sapindales; Rutaceae. The record is from RNAcentral.